This 607-nucleotide unclassified non-coding RNA is filed under the name Hevea brasiliensis (rubber tree). The record is from RNAcentral. Lineage: Eukaryota; Viridiplantae; Streptophyta; Magnoliopsida; Malpighiales; Euphorbiaceae.
GCAUACGACGCUGGCUAUUGCGAUGAAUAAAAUUGGAGGGAAGUCAAAUACAGGUGAGGGAGGUGAACAACCAUCUCGCAUGGUGCCUCUUCCUAAUGGUUCAACUAAUCCAAAGAGAAGUGCAAUCAAGCAGGUUGCAAGUGGGAGAUNGAGUUUCAAGUUAUUAUCUUACAAAUGCUGAUGAACUACAGAUCAAGAUGGCUCAGGGGGCUAAGCCUGGGGAAGGUGGUGAGCUUCCUGGCCACAAGGUCAUAGGAGACAUUGCAGUUACCAGAAAUUCUACAGCUGGGGUGGGACUUAUCAGUCCUCCUCCCCAUCAUGAUAUCUACUCAAUUGAAGACCUUGCCCAGUUGAUUCAUGACCUUAAGAAUGCCAAUCCAGGUGCUCGAAUUAGUGUCAAAUUAGUAUCUGAAGCUGGUGUGGGGGUAAUUGCUAGCGGUGUCGUGAAGGGGCAUGCUGACCAUGUGUUGAUCUCAGGUCACGAUGGAGGUACAGGGGCUUCUAGGUGGACUGGCAUCAAGAAUGCUGGGCUCCCUUGGGAACUAGGUUUGGCUGAGACCCAUCAAACUCUUGUUGCUAAUGACCUUCGUGGCCGCACAGUUCUUCA